Molecule: transfer RNA, 65 nt
Filed under: Philolithus aegrotus
Lineage: Eukaryota; Metazoa; Arthropoda; Insecta; Coleoptera; Tenebrionidae
Description: tRNA-His
Source: RNAcentral
AUUUAAAUAGUUUAAUUUAAAAUGUUGAUUUGUGGAGUCAAUGAUGUACGAUUGUAUUUUAAAUA